GUCAGUGGUGCAAUAGGUCAGUGUGUCUCGCUGUUAACCAGAAGGUUGGUGGUUUGAGCCCCCCCAGCGACA
RNAcentral lists this transfer RNA (72 nucleotides) under Podarcis lilfordi (Lilford's wall lizard). Its description in RNAcentral is "tRNA.Asn". Lineage: Eukaryota; Metazoa; Chordata; Lepidosauria; Squamata; Lacertidae. The record is from RNAcentral.